RNAcentral lists this long non-coding RNA (764 nucleotides) under Rhinopithecus bieti (black snub-nosed monkey). Its description in RNAcentral is "lncRNA (ENSRBIG00000045191.1)". Lineage: Eukaryota; Metazoa; Chordata; Mammalia; Primates; Cercopithecidae. The record is from RNAcentral.
AUCUGCUUUUCUCUGAAUUCCAAUCACUGUCUACUGUUGCAGCUGAACCUGAACCUGACUUUUUCAGAUGUUGCUCACUGUCUGCUGUUGCUGGUCCCCUAUCACCUGAUCCACUGCACCACAGAGUAUGAGUUUGGGCAGGAGGGAGAGAGGGAGAUUGGAAGCACCACUGAGAGGAGUCAGAGGAAAGUGUAAGGAGACUUGUAAAAAAAGGAGGCGGUCAUGAGGAUGAAAGUCAUGUGUGAAGGAUGAUGGAACAGAAGGACUAAAGGAGUCUGACCUGGACACCCUGAUUUCCUGCUGUGUGGCCUGAAAAAGAAGCCACAGUCCCAUGGAUUCUGUUAUCGGCCACUGAGUGCAAUCCUACCUGAUCCCAUGGUCCUCACCAAGGCUGUGUCUGCUUAGGAAAUGGAGAAUGGUCCCCAAACCGCAGCAGCAAAAAUGAGUGGAAGGGUUGAGCAUUAUUUCCAGCCCUUGGUUGCUCUGGUGAUUGGUGCCUGGGAGGGGCAGGACCUCCAUCCAACAGACUGUACCAGCAGAGUGGUAAGAGGAAACCUCAGAGAUGCAUUGGACUUGGUCAGCAGACUUGAGUUCUAUGCCCAUACCAGUCACUGACUGGCUAUGACCUGAAUUGGACAAGGCAUGCCCACUCUAGACUUCAAUUGUUCCUUAUCUGGAAAAGGAAAGGAGUGCUUUGACAGUGGUUCCCAGACACCAAUUUAUAAAGAUUUCACUGGUCUGUGGCAAAAUAAUAAUAAUGGCUA